CCGAACCUGCCCUCCCCAUAAAAGUUGUGGCGCAGGGCGCCCACCGAUUUGAUUCACCAGAAGCAAUCCCACGCCAACGUAGCCACCGGGUGAGAUACGCCUAGGGGUAUGAGCACGGGGUGAAAGCAGGCCGCCGCUGUGGAUUCUCGCCGGCGGUGAGAAUCGACCCCCCCCCCCCCCCACAGAACAGCACAACGGUGUUCCGGGCCCUAGCUAGGUUGUGUGAGGGGUUAAUCGGGUGGAAGGCCGCUGUUGACCUGGGAAUUGCUCAUCGUGGUUGGAGAAAGCCGUGGGUGACGCGAAUUGCGUCGAAGCUAGGUGCCACCGCCCCCAAUUUGAGGUAAAACCACUCUCAUCCACUUCGUCCCACUCCCCGAUGCGCAUAGC
This 387-nucleotide long non-coding RNA is filed under the name Zea mays. RNAcentral's name for it is "long non-coding RNA NONZMAT002387". Lineage: Eukaryota; Viridiplantae; Streptophyta; Magnoliopsida; Poales; Poaceae. The record is from RNAcentral.